RNAcentral lists this ribosomal RNA (201 nucleotides) under uncultured bacterium. Its description in RNAcentral is "partial 16S ribosomal RNA". It matches the Rfam family "Bacterial small subunit ribosomal RNA", at positions 524 to 729 of the family's 1533-position model. The record is from RNAcentral.
UACGGAGGAUGCAAGCGUUAUCCGGAAUUAUUGGGCGUAAAGAGCUCGUAGGCGGCUUGUCGCGUCGUCUGUGAAAACCCGCGGCUCAACGGCGGCUUGCAGUCGAUACGGGCAGGCUGGAGUUCGGUAGGGAGACUGGAAUUCCUGGUGUAGCGGUGAAAUGCGCAGAUAUCAGGAGAACACCGUGCGAAGGCGGCUCUC